CAGGUAGUUGGUGAGGUAAAGGCUCACCAAGCCUACGACGGGUAGCCGGCCUGAGAGGGUGACCGGCCACACUGGGACUGAGACACGGCCCAGACUCCUACGGGAGGCAGCAGUGGGGAAUAUUGCACAAUGGGCGAAAGCCUGAUGCAGCAACGCCGCGUGAGGGAUGACGGCCUUCGGGUUGUAAACCUCUUUUAGUAGGGAAGAAGCGAAAGUGACGGUACCUGCAGAAAAAGCACCGGCUAACUACGUGCCAGCAGCCGCGGUAAUACGUAGGGUGCGAGCGUUGUCCGGAAUUAUUGGGCGUAAAGAGCUCGUAGGCGGUCUGUCGCGUCUGCUGUGAAAACCCGAGGCUCAACCUCGGGCCUGCAGUGGGUACGGGCAGACUAGAGUGCGGUAGGGGAGAAUGGAAUUCCUGGUGUAGCGGUGGAAUGCGCAGAUAUCAGGAGGAACACCGAUGGCGAAGGCAGUUCUCUGGGCCGUAACUGACGCUGAGGAGCGAAAGCGUGGGGAGCGAACAGGAUUAGAUACCCUGGUAGUCCACGCCGU
This 549-nucleotide ribosomal RNA is filed under the name Cryocola sp. Its description in RNAcentral is "bacterial SSU rRNA". It matches the Rfam family "Bacterial small subunit ribosomal RNA", at positions 242 to 803 of the family's 1533-position model. The record is from RNAcentral. Lineage: Bacteria; Bacillati; Actinomycetota; Actinomycetes; Micrococcales; Microbacteriaceae.